Molecule: ribosomal RNA, 497 nt
Filed under: uncultured bacterium
Lineage: Bacteria
Description: partial 16S ribosomal RNA
Rfam family: Bacterial small subunit ribosomal RNA
Source: RNAcentral
GAUGAACGCUGGCGGCGUGCCUAAUACAUGCAGGUCGAGCGAACAGACGAGGAGCUUGCUCCUCUGACGUUAGCGGCGGACGGGUGAGUAACACGUGGAUAACCUACCUAUAAGACUGGGAUAACUUCGGGAAACCGGAGCUAAUACCGGAUAACAUGUUGAACCGCAUGGUUCAACAGUGAAAGACGGUCUUGCUGUCACUUAUAGAUGGAUCCGCGCCGCAUUAGCUAGUUGGUAAGGUAACGGCUUACCAAGGCAACGAUGCGUAGCCGACCUGAGAGGGUGAUCGGCCACACUGGAACUGAGACACGGUCCAGACUCCUACGGGAGGCAGCAGUAGGGAAUCUUCCGCAAUGGGCGAAAUCCUGACGGAGCAACGCCGCGUGAGUGAAGAAGGUCUUCGGAUCGUAAAACUCUGUUAUUAGGGAAGAACAAAUGUGUAAGUAGCUAUGCACGUCUUGACGGUACCUAAUCAGAAAGCCACGGCUAACUACGUG